AAUAAAAUAUUAAUUGCCAAUUUGCUUAAUUGAAGUUAGUUCCAGCGUGACAUUGGAGAGCACAAAAAGCUUCAGCUUAGUUCCAGCAAUUCACCAUCACACUCGAAAAACAAGCAAACUCCUCCGAUUUGAAUUUGUGAAUUUGUGGUUUCCUUCACCUGAGUUCCUCCGAUUUGAAUCUCUCAUCUCAAACUCUGAGCUCCGAACUUCAAUUUAAUCCCCAGAGAGAGAUUGAUCCGAGCUCAAAACUCUCCGACAUCGUCGUAGCAGCAUCCCUCGCGAUCUCCUCCGCUUGAGAUCAAAAUUUUGGUGCGACCUUUUCAUUUCUCCUCUAAUUUCAUAUAUAAUUUCUCUAUUUAUAACCAUUAUUCUAUCAUUUUAUUGAAGCUCUGCUUUGGUGCAUUGUAAUUGAAGCUCUACUUUCGAAUUGAAGUCCAGUCUCACAGUAGCCAUUCUAAGUACUUGUUAGUUUUGAAAUGGACAAGAGUUGGAUUAAUGCGCCAAGGGUUAGUGAUGUUUAUAAGAGUGGAUGUGAGUCAUUCAUACAAUUUGCCAUGGAAGCUCAAGAAACUAUACUUUGCCCCUGCUUGAAGUGUUGUAAUGGCAAAAGGUUUUCAACUGAAAAUGUUCUUCAUCACAUAUUAUUCAAUGGUUUUUGUCCGG
Long non-coding RNA from Salvia miltiorrhiza (redroot sage), 663 nucleotides. RefSeq lists it as uncharacterized. The record is from RefSeq and is a predicted model, not a curated record. Lineage: Eukaryota; Viridiplantae; Streptophyta; Magnoliopsida; Lamiales; Lamiaceae. The transcript has 2 exons.